GUCUUUUUGAUUAUAAUUUAAAGUCUGGCCUGCCCAAUGAUAAUUUGAAUGGCCGCAGUAUUUUGACUGUGCAAAGGUAGCAUAAUCAUUAGUUUUUUAAUUGAAAACUGGUAUGAAUGGUUGAAUGAGAAAAUAACUGUCUCAAUUUAAUUGUUUUAGAAUUUUAUUAUUAAGUUAAAAAGCUUAAAUAAUAUUAAAAGACGAGAAGACCCUAUAGAGUUUUAUAAAAAAAUGAAAAUUUAUAUUUAUUUAGAAUUUUUAAAAUUUAAUUUUAUUUUUUAUUUAAUUGGGGUGAUUGUAAAAUUAAAUAAACUUUUAUUUUAUAUAAACAUAAAUUAAUGAAUUUUUGAUCCAAAAUUUUUGAUUAUAAGAUUAAAUUACCUUAGGGAUAACAGCGUAAUUUUUUUUUAGAGUUCUAAUCGAAAAAAGAGAUUGCGACCUCGAUGUUGGAUUAAAGUUAAUAAUUGGUGAAGAAGCUAAUAUAUUAGGUCUGUUCGACCUUUAAAACUUUACA
This 514-nucleotide ribosomal RNA is filed under the name Afrorylon sp. CO929. RNAcentral describes it as "partial 16S ribosomal RNA". The stretch from base 388 to 514 matches the Rfam family "Bacterial large subunit ribosomal RNA", at positions 2473 to 2600 of the family's 2925-position model. Lineage: Eukaryota; Metazoa; Arthropoda; Insecta; Coleoptera; Cerylonidae. The record is from RNAcentral.